RNAcentral lists this ribosomal RNA (253 nucleotides) under uncultured bacterium. RNAcentral describes it as "partial 16S ribosomal RNA". It matches the Rfam family "Bacterial small subunit ribosomal RNA", at positions 524 to 776 of the family's 1533-position model. The record is from RNAcentral.
UACAGAGGCCCCAAGCAUUACCCGGAAUUACUGGGCGUAAAGGGUGCGUAGGUGGUCAUAUUAGUCGUCUGUUAAAGACCAGGGCUCAACCCCGGAAGUGCAGGCGAAACGGUAUGACUUGAGAGCGUGAGAGGUGCAUAGAACUCUAGGUGUAGGGGUGAAAUCCGUUGAUAUCUAGGGGAAUACCGAAAGCGAAGGCAGUGCACUGGCGCGUUUCUGACACUCAAGCACGAAAGCGUGGGUAGCGAACGGG